CCUACGGGUGGCUGCAGUGGGGAAUAUUGCACAAUGGGCGCAAGCCUGAUGCAGCCAUGCCGCGUGUAUGAAGAAGGCCUUCGGGUUGUAAAGUACUUUCAGCGGGGAGGAAGGGAGUAAAGUUAAUACCUUUGCUCAUUGACGUUACCCGCAGAAGAAGCACCGGCUAACUCCGUGCCAGCAGCCGCGGUAAUACGGAGGGUGCAAGCGUUAAUCGGAAUUACUGGGCGUAAAGCGCACGCAGGCGGUUUGUUAAGUCAGAUGUGAAAUCCCCGGGCUCAACCUGGGAACUGCAUCUGAUACUGGCAAGCUUGAGUCUCGUAGAGGGGGGUAGAAUUCCAGGUGUAGCGGUGAAAUGCGUAGAGAUCUGGAGGAAUACCGGUGGCGAAGGCGGCCCCCUGGACGAAGACUGACGCUCAGGUGCGAAAGCGUGGGGAGCAAACAGGAUUAGAUACCCAAGUAGUC
Molecule: ribosomal RNA, 465 nt
Filed under: uncultured bacterium
Lineage: Bacteria
Description: bacterial SSU rRNA
Rfam family: Bacterial small subunit ribosomal RNA
Source: RNAcentral